GGCUUCAUAGGUCAGUAGGGUAGAGCAUUUGCACCGGAAUUGCAAAGGUCAUGGGUUCGAAUCCCGUUGGAGCCU
Non-coding RNA from Desmophyllum pertusum, 75 nucleotides. NCBI's taxonomy places the organism in Eukaryota, Metazoa, Cnidaria, Anthozoa, Scleractinia, Caryophylliidae. The record is from the annotation of a GenBank genome assembly.